AGUGGGUCACAAACAGCACUUUCAAAGGUGAACUGAAUAGAAGAGAAAAUAGCAAUGUGCGCUGCACACAGUGGAACCUGCUCUGCAUAUGUCCCUGUCAAGAGGCAAUGCACAGAAAGUACCAGAACGCUCCUCUUCCCACUGUGAGGUGAUGCAUGGAAUGAGGGGAUGGCUCAGUUUACUCUAGAUAGAAAUAGGAAAAUAUUAAAUCACUCAAAAUAAUAAAGUAUAAAGAUUUUAAAAGUUCAUUUGGGUUUCAAAUAGUGCAGAUUUAGCAGUAAUUAUGUGGUAUAUGAACACCUUGCUAAUAAAUCUUUUGAUAGAUAUUUAAAUUAUAUGGGAGGAAUAUUCAUCAGGAAAGCAGAAAAAUAACAUGGCAACAACGUAAAGGCCUUGAUUAGAAUUACUUCAGAAUAGCACUUAUAUCAUUUAUGUGGGUCCUAAUGAAAACAGAGCCUAAAGACUACAUCAGGAAAGAAAGGCAGAGCUCUCCAUCUGGGGGUGCAAGUCAGUGCCCUGAAGAAAAUUUUAUAAGACUCUCCAGGAAAUAACAACUUACGAGUGGCUGGGGUUCUGGAAAACAGAAUAGAACACUUCCUAUUAGAACUCAAAAGGGCCAGGAGUUCAAGACCAGCCUGGCCACCAUGGCAGAGCCCCAUCUCUACUAAAAAUACAAAAAUUAGCCAGGUAUGGUGGUUGUACAUCUGUAAUCCCAGCUACUCAGGAGGCUGAGGCAUGAGCAUUGCUUGAAUCAGGGAGGUGGAGGUUGCAGUGGGCCAAGAUGACGCCACUGCACUCCAGCCUGGAUGACAGAGUGAGAUUCUGUCUCGGGGAAAAAAAAAAAUUGCCACUUGUGGAGGACACAGCUAUUUGGGGCCACACAAUACUUUCUUUUCCAUUUUGUUUAGAAAAUGGCACUCGGAUCUUCAUGACGGUGCCCACCACCCCCCUCCUUUAAGCCAACCAGCAGACUUCAUCGUCAGGCCGUGGAGACACAGGGAGACACUUGCCAAGGCAUCUGUGAGACGCACUUCUUCAUCCUUCUGUGAAGCUGCAUGAGGCGCUCUGCAUCCCCACUGGAGAGAAACCCAGCAAGCACCGCCCAGGCCUGCUGGGACCCGUGGGGAGGCUAUGCAAGAAAGAGGCUGAGGAAAGGGCAGAGAGAAGCUGGGUGUGCCCAUAUAAUGUAGGCUGCCAGAUCAGACCUUGCCUGAAGCUAGCCCUUCUUCGGCCUUCUAGGUCAGAGAUACAGCUUCAACAACCACCAAAAAAUGGAGCUGUUCAUCAUAGCAUCAGAUACUUCAACACAUUUCUGGAAAUCAGAAGCCACCUGUCUGGCACAAAUCUGAAAAGGAAGAUGGGGUACGGGUGUCCUUUUUGCCUGCACACUGGAGUGCAUGGGUUUCUGGGUGUGAAGCCCCCCUCUUGCUAACUCAGCAC
RNAcentral lists this long non-coding RNA (1440 nucleotides) under Homo sapiens (human). Its description in RNAcentral is "HSALNT0068069". The record is from RNAcentral. Lineage: Eukaryota; Metazoa; Chordata; Mammalia; Primates; Hominidae.